RNAcentral lists this ribosomal RNA (422 nucleotides) under Fusobacteriota bacterium. Its description in RNAcentral is "Fusobacteria bacterium partial 16S ribosomal RNA". It matches the Rfam family "Bacterial small subunit ribosomal RNA", at positions 355 to 776 of the family's 1533-position model. The record is from RNAcentral. Lineage: Bacteria; Fusobacteriati; Fusobacteriota.
UGGGGGAUUUUGCACAAUGGGCGCAAGCCUGAUGCAGCGACGCCGCGUGAGGGAUGAAGGCCUUCGGGUUGUAAACCUCUUUCGCUGGGUUGAAAGGCCAUGCUUUGGGUGUGGUUGAUUUGAACUGGUAAAGAAGUACCGGCUAACUACGUGCCAGCAGCCGCGGUAAUACGUAGGGUACUAGCGUUGUCCGGAUUUAUUGGGCGUAAAGGGCUUGUAGGUGGUUUGUCGCGUCUGUCGUGAAAUCCUGUGGCUUAACCAUGGGCUUGCGGUGGGUACGGGCAGGCUUGAGUGCGGUAGGGGAGGCUGGAAUUCCUGGUGUAGAGGUGGAAUGCGCAGAUAUCAGGAGGAACACCGGUGGCGAAGGCGGGUCUCUGGGCCGUUACUGACACUGAGGAGCGAAAGCGUGGGGAGCGAACAGG